RNAcentral lists this ribosomal RNA (570 nucleotides) under Chalceus erythrurus (Tucan fish). RNAcentral describes it as "partial 16S large subunit ribosomal RNA". It matches the Rfam family "Bacterial large subunit ribosomal RNA", at positions 1840 to 2606 of the family's 2925-position model. Lineage: Eukaryota; Metazoa; Chordata; Actinopteri; Characiformes; Chalceidae. The record is from RNAcentral.
AAUAUAUGGGAGGUCUUACCUGCCCAGUGACAAUAAGUUAAACGGCCGCGGUAUUUUGACCGUGCUAAGGUAGCGCAAUCACUUGUCUUUUAAAUGAAGACCUGUAUGAAUGGUGGAACGAGGGCUUAACUGUCUCCCUUCUCAGGUCAGUGAAAUUGAUCUGUCCGUGCAGAAGCGGAUCAUAAGCAUACAAGACGAGAAGACCCUUUGGAGCUUAAGACAUAAAGCCAACUGUGUCAAAAACCCAAAUCAAAAGGAGAUUAAACAAAACAGCACAACUGACUAACGUCUUCGGUUGGGGCGACCGCGGGGGAAAACAAAGCCCCCACGUGGAGUGGGAAAACUCCUAAAACCAAGAGAGACAUCUCUAAGUCACAGAACGUCUGACCAAAUGAUCCGACCACAUAGGCCGAUCAACGGACCAAGUUACCCUAGGGAUAACAGCGCAAUCCCCUCCAAGAGUCCAUAUCGACAAGGGGGUUUACGACCUCGAUGUUGGAUCAGGACAUCCUAAUGGUGCAGCCGCUAUUAAGGGUUCGUUUGUUCAACGAUUAAAGUCCUACGUGAUCU